Molecule: ribosomal RNA, 315 nt
Filed under: uncultured Glomus
Lineage: Eukaryota; Fungi; Glomeromycota; Glomeromycetes; Glomerales; Glomeraceae
Description: SSU rRNA
Rfam family: Eukaryotic small subunit ribosomal RNA
Source: RNAcentral
AGCAGCCGCGGUAAUUCCAGCUCCAAUAGCGUAUAUUAAAGUUGUUGCAGUUAAAAAGCUCGUAGUUGAAUUUCGGGGUUAGUAGGUUGGUCAUGCCUCUGGUAUGUACUGAUCUCACUGAUUCCUCCCUCUUGACGAACUGUAAUGUCAUUAAUUUGGUGUUGCAGGAAAUCAGGACUGUUACUUUGAAAAAUUGAGUGUUUAAAGCAGGCUUAGGCUUGAAUACAUUAGCAUGGAAUAAUGAAAUAGGACGUUUGAUCCUAUUUUGUUGGUUUCUAGGAUCGACGUAAUGAUUAAUAGGGAUAGGUUGGGGGC